GAUGAACGCUGGCGGCGUGCCUAAUACAUGCAAGUAGAACGCUGAAGGAAGGAGCUUGCUCUUUCCGGAUGAGUUGCGCACGGGUGAGUAACGCGUAGGUAACCUGCCUGGUAGCGGGGGAUAACUAUUGGAAACGAUAGCUAAUACCGCAUAACAGUAGAUGUUGCAUGAUAUCUACUUAAAAGGUGCAAUUGCACCACUACCAGAUGGACCUGCGUUGUAUUAGCUAGUUGGUGAGGUAACGGCUCACCAAGGCGACGAUACAUAGCCGACCUGAGAGGGUGAUCGGCCACACUGGGACUGAGACACGGCCCAGACGCCUACGGGAGGCAGCAGUAGGGAAUCUUCGGCAAUGGACGGAAGUCUGACCGAGCAACGCCGCGUGAGGGAAGAAGGUUUUCGGAUCGUAAAGCUCUGUUGUAAGAGAAGAACGAGUGUGAGAGUGGAAAGUUCACACUGUGACGGUAUCUGACCAGAAAGGGACGGCUAACUACGUG
RNAcentral lists this ribosomal RNA (497 nucleotides) under uncultured bacterium. RNAcentral's name for it is "partial 16S ribosomal RNA". It matches the Rfam family "Bacterial small subunit ribosomal RNA", at positions 28 to 507 of the family's 1533-position model. The record is from RNAcentral.